RNAcentral lists this long non-coding RNA (301 nucleotides) under Populus trichocarpa (black cottonwood). Its description in RNAcentral is "long non-coding RNA (PTRI_LNC000625)". The record is from RNAcentral. Lineage: Eukaryota; Viridiplantae; Streptophyta; Magnoliopsida; Malpighiales; Salicaceae.
AUGCAGUAGUAGAAGGCAAAUCAGCUCCAUCACCAUCACCAUCGCCAUCGCCAUCGCCAGAAGAAGAAACAAGAGUCCAAUCAGGAGGUAGGGGAGGUAAAGGAGCAUAAACAGUGGGCUUGCGCUUUAUGUCCCAUGGUUGACUCUUUCUUGGCCUUGUUUUCCUGUGAUGUGCAGUUGCCUUCUUCUGUGGCCUUGAAGAACACUCUAUCGACAUCCCACCAUGACCAAAACCAGUGCCUAUUGGGACCGUUUUGAACUCGCCAUUGACAGGCUUGAAAGACGGUGUAGUCGAGGGUUU